AUGGAGACAUACUAGGAUGGAUGAAACCCUUGUCUAAAAGAUCCUUUAGUUGCUCCUUAAGAUCUUUUAACCCAGCAGGAGAAGUUCUACACACCGGAAUAGAAAUAGGAUGAGUGAUUGAAACAAGAUCAAUCCUAGACUCAAGCUCCCUAUCAGGAAGGAAACCAAGAAGGUCAUCGGGGAAGACCUCAGGAAAUUCAUUCGCAACUGAG
RNAcentral lists this long non-coding RNA (212 nucleotides) under Capsicum annuum. RNAcentral's name for it is "long non-coding RNA (CANN_LNC001954)". The record is from RNAcentral. Lineage: Eukaryota; Viridiplantae; Streptophyta; Magnoliopsida; Solanales; Solanaceae.